GCCGGAUUAGCUCAGUGGUUAGAGCGUCUGUCUUGUAAACAGAAGGUCGCAGGUUCGAUCCCCGCAUUCGGCA
Molecule: non-coding RNA, 73 nt
Organism: Loa loa (African eye worm)
Lineage: Eukaryota; Metazoa; Nematoda; Chromadorea; Rhabditida; Onchocercidae
Source: Rfam